AACGCGAAGAACCUUACCCAGGCUUGACAUGCAGAGGACGGCAUCAGAGAUGGUGUUUCCCGCAAGGGUCUCUGCACAGGUGCUGCAUGGCUGUCGUCAGCUCGUGCCGUGAGGUGUUGGGUUAAGUCCCGCAACGAGCGCAACCCUUGUCAUUAGUUGCCAACACUUAGGGUGGGGACUCUAAUGAGACUGCCUAGGUUAACUAGGAGGAAGGUGAGGAUGACGUCAAGUCAGCAUGGCCCUUAUGUCUGGGGCUACACACGUGCUACAAUGGCCGGUACAGAAGGGAGCGAAGCCGCGAGGUGAAGCAAAUCCUAGAAAGCCGGUCUCAGUUCGGAUUGCAGUCUGCAACUCGACUGCAUGAAGUCGGAAUUGCUAGUAAUGGCGUGUCAGCAAUAACGCCGUGAAUACGUUCUCGGGCCUUGUACACACCGCUCGUC
RNAcentral lists this ribosomal RNA (440 nucleotides) under uncultured bacterium. Its description in RNAcentral is "bacterial SSU rRNA". It matches the Rfam family "Bacterial small subunit ribosomal RNA", at positions 958 to 1398 of the family's 1533-position model. The record is from RNAcentral.